This 206-nucleotide ribosomal RNA is filed under the name uncultured bacterium. RNAcentral's name for it is "partial 16S ribosomal RNA". It matches the Rfam family "Bacterial small subunit ribosomal RNA", at positions 568 to 774 of the family's 1533-position model. The record is from RNAcentral.
UACGCAGGCGGCUUUGCAAGACAGGUGUGAAAUCCCCGGGCCUAACCUGGGAACUGCAUUUGUGACUGCAUAGCUAGAGUUUGUCAGAGGGGGUGGAAUUCCACGUGUAGCAGUGAAAUGCGUAGAUAUGUGGAGGAACACCGAUGGCGAAGGCAGCCCCCUGGGAUGUGACUGACGCUCAUGUACGAAAGCGUGGGGAGCAAACA